UUCCUUCUACAUCCUAGAUGAACUGGUCUGAGCACGUUCUUCUGUGAGGUUUAUAAUUGAGAUGUGUGGACACUAAGCUCAUAAAGAAUCAGGGCUAAGACUAUGAUGGGUCAUAUGCAAGCUGAUGCUGAGGAAGCCCACCAUAAGAACGGAGAAUGGAGCAUUCUGCAGAGAGCAGAGGAACUUGAGAGUUCAUUAGAGAGAAGACUCCUACUGUUUAGAGAACAGAGAUUUCAAGGAAGGAUUAAGGCUGGCAUCCUGAUAGCAAAGGUGGAGACAAAGGAAAGCAUUCCAGAUAACUUUCAAAAGAAACUCAAACAUUCGGAAAUCAUUUUCACUACCAAGAAAGGAAGUUAAGAAAAAUAGUUAUUUCCAAGGUCUCCAGAAUCUGAAGCUCUGCUCCUGAGUUUAUAAAAUGUGGAUGACGUCUAUGAAACUAAGCUCGGGAAGUAUUUUGUCACAUAUUGUGUUGAAAGCUCAUAGGAAGAGGAAAGUUGGGCAGUUGUCUAAGUAUAGCGGAGGUUUAUGUGAAGGGAAUGUUGAACCAUGAGGCUCACAUAAGGCAACUGUCUUAAGAAUAAAUAAGUAGUAUGCUAUAAAUAGAUUAUCUACCAUGCUAAAUUAAAUAUGUUAUUGGCUUCUCCAAAUAAACAGACCCAU
This 660-nucleotide long non-coding RNA is filed under the name Homo sapiens (human). RNAcentral describes it as "HSALNT0348173". Lineage: Eukaryota; Metazoa; Chordata; Mammalia; Primates; Hominidae. The record is from RNAcentral.